Molecule: ribosomal RNA, 467 nt
Filed under: uncultured bacterium
Lineage: Bacteria
Description: partial 16S ribosomal RNA
Rfam family: Bacterial small subunit ribosomal RNA
Source: RNAcentral
GAUGAACGCUGGCGGCGUGCUUAACACAUGCAAGUCGAACGGAAAGGCCCAAGCUUGCUUGGGUACUCGAGUGGCGAACGGGUGAGUAACACGUGGGUGAUCUGCCCUGCACUUCGGGAUAAGCCUGGGAAACUGGGUCUAAUACCGGAUAGGACCACAUUUUGGAUGGUGUGGUGGAAAGUUUUUCGGUGUGGGAUGAGCUCGCGGCCUAUCAGCUUGUUGGUGGGGUAAUGGCCUACCAAGGCGUCGACGGGUAGCCGGCCUGAGAGGGUGUACGGCCACAUUGGGACUGAGAUACGGCCCAGACUCCUACGGGAGGCAGCAGUGGGGAAGAUUGCACAAUGGGCGCAAGCCUGAUGCAGCGACGCCGCGUGGGGGAUGACGGCCUUCGGGUUGUAAACUCCUUUCGCUAGGGACGAAGCGUUUUUGUGACGGUACCUGGAGAAGAAGCACCGGCUAACUACGUG